CAAACAAUACAUAUUCCCAAAUCAGAAUCACGGAAGCAUCAUCUUCUUCCCCACCACAUGGCGGCGCAGCUGCCGCUCCACGAAUCGCCAUGAAGCAAAAAGUUAUAAAUCUGAUACCUCACCAGCCACCACACUGCUGCAAUACAGCACCCGGCAAAACGUAAUCCGUAAACGAAACCACCUCCGAUUCCAAGCACUCCCUACAACUCCCUAUACCUCUUAUAGCUCCCCACCGCCGCUUCAUUCACUUUUCCCAUGAGCUUCUUUACCGCUGCGCUAAACCUUACGGGAUCCGUUGCGCUCGUUCUCUACGUUGAACACAAUGACGGCGUAGGUGGUGCUGAGUUUCCUAAGAAUUCGUCUGUGCUGUAGUGGAGGGCAGAGGUAGGAGAGGUGGUUGGCUGCGUUAGUGAUAUUGCAGGAUGAGCAGAUGUUGGAGGAGAUAUUGGCGUAGCCGGAUUGAGGGGUUUUGAUUUUGAGUUAGGAGAGGACGUAGUUUAUGCAUGUUUGAUUGAAAGGGAUUAGUGGCGGAGAUGAAGCUGAUGGCAUCGACGUAGAGGGUGAGGAGGAAUUUGGCUGUGAAUGCCAUUGUCGAGUUUUGCUGAGAGAGUUCGAUGAUUAAUCGAGAUUUGGUUAUGUAGACGGGGAAUUAUUAGUUGGAAGAUAUACUUUUUUUUAGCCUAUAUAUAUAUUAAAAAGCUCAAAACUUUAAUAAGCACAAAUAUGGAAUUCCGUUUCUUUCGUUCGCGCGGGAACCAAUUUGAAAUCUUCCUCUCCCCCCUCAGCCACACCCUCUAUUCUACACCGACUCAAGCAGAUAGAUCACCACGGGAUUGGCUUGCGACACUGCUCCCGGUCUCCUCCUCCAUCUAAAAUUUACGGCCGCACCCUCCAAUCGGUCACGGCACAAGAAAAUCACCGUCUUCAACUAGGUAACUGUUCGCGUCCAUCUUCCUGUUCAUAUCAACCCCAUUCGAUGAUUUCGUUCAGAUUUUCUAUGGAGUAAGAGAAGCUGUAAUCUAAUUGGGUAUAUACAAAGGUAUCCAUAUUUUUCUAGAGCACGAGGUGUUCGAUGAUUUGCCCCAUCUAGACACAGACUUCUUUCAUCUCUGCUUUUUGCAAAAGCCAUUCUUUAUCUGGUCAAAGAUUUUGCUUUGCUAGAUGGUGAGAAACUCCCCUAAUUUGCUUCUUAUAUGAAAUAUAGUUUUGAGUUCUUAAUCCAUUCACCUUUUUUUCAUCUCUGCUGGAUUCCUCCCCUGAACAUACCCACAUCUGCCCUGAUUAUAUUGUGAUUUUCAAGUUUCCUGCUAAAUCCAAAGGAAGGAAAUGAUAAUUCGUUUGUAAUACCAGCUAUCCAAUCCCAAGGCAAGGACCAAGAGUUUGGUAGGGUCCCUAAGCCAACCUCUCCUAGGAUGGCUUUUUCAAUGCUAUUUGCUACAAUUUCAAUUCAUCAUCCUGCUAAAGAUAUGGAUCUUGUCAAUACAUAUUAUGAAGAAUUCAAGAUUCUGAAAUUGCUAUUGCGUGUUGCUUAAUGCACAUGGUGGAGCAGCUUUUCAUGAAGCUCAUCCGGACACUUAUAGAAAGAGAGCAGUUGCAACAGCUGCAGAUGUAGCAAUUUCAGUUCAUGCAGGUUCUCGGCCAAGAGAGAGGAUGAGACGAAGCAUCAUUUCAACAAUGUCAGCUGCAUCUUGGAGAUAAGUGAGCUUUUUUGGCGUAGUCGUUGCUUCCUUGACAUUUUGAUGGUGCUCCAUAUUAUCUCCAUUUUUCAAGUUAAAGUAAUUCUUAUUGUUCUUCCUGACUAGCACUUCAAAUUAAUAUUCAUAUAGUUCUUUGUACAUAUAAAACUGUUGAAUGUAUAAUUAAUCAUACAAGGCAUUCAUUUUGGGCAAAUAGGAUUUUGGGUCUUGUUUGAUUUCUAAAAGCUCUCAAAUGU
Long non-coding RNA from Phalaenopsis equestris, 1933 nucleotides. RefSeq lists it as uncharacterized. The record is from RefSeq and is a predicted model, not a curated record. Lineage: Eukaryota; Viridiplantae; Streptophyta; Magnoliopsida; Asparagales; Orchidaceae. The transcript has 4 exons.